GCGCUCAAGGGCCGCGUAAGUCUCUGAACACUCGUGGGUAGUGCCGCCUGGCAGGACAUUGGGCAGCACACAAAGAUAUCGGCGUUUUAUUCCUGUUAUCUUCUGUUUUCUUUGUUGUCGUUCCUUGUUGCCCAUCGAACAUUUGCCGCGCUGCUUGCGUGGUGAGACAAGAACGUUGCAACCGUACUCCUAGCCCAAUGGCUGUGGUUGUCUUCGACAUGGGCGCGCUCGAAUCCUGGAAGCUGCGGUUGCGCGAGUUGGCAAAUGCCGGUGAUGGGUGCAAAGAGCAUGUUCUCUCGUGCCUCGAUGCACUCGAGCACCUGGGACGCACCGCAGAGCACGACUCAGUACUACCAGUGCCGAGGAACAACCUUGAAACUGAUCUUGCCGUCAUCAAUGCCGCCCCCUACACGCGCGUGAGCACUGGCACGCAACUGUGGACCGUACACCCCAUUCACUACACACAUCACGUACUCAAUAAGAUGAUGCGGGAGCGCCAGGUGCAAAGGCUUACUCGGCGUCUCGGUAACCUGGCAGCGGAUUUGCACAGCGUCGCGCACGACAUGUGGAAGGUCUUGCAAGCGUCCUGCAUCCGUCAGACGUCGACAGCCUCACAAAGGCUCUCUGAUGUGACAAGAGUAACAACUCUAGACAGGCCCGCGUCUGUAGCAACAGCACCGGGCUCCAUGAACGGCGCUUCGCCAGCGCUGUCACCGUCCACGUGUCGUACGCUACGCAGUCUUUUUGGGAGAUUUCCAGAUUUCGAGGCUGAUGUGCUGCUACACGGGUCGAGCCUGAACGCAUCGUCAGAAGCAACUACGGAGACUUCUGCGACUCCACCCCAUGCGCGGAAACAAGUCGACGCAUCUGUGCAGACCCCGCCGGAGUUCACGGCUGAGUCUACUGCCGUCGAUACUCCGCGAGAACGACUUCUAUUUCUGUGUCGUCGCUGCCGACAGGACGGUCGCGCCGGCUAUCAAGUGGACAAAAAUAGGAUGCAGCUCAAGCAAACACAUGACAUCGUCGCCUCAGUGGAGCGAACAGAACCACCACCAUCUCUGAAGAGUCCCACCCUGCAGUGCACUGUCUCGCGUGGUGCCCGUCCCCCUCUGCCACAAAUCGGCGGUACUCGGCGACCGCGAUGGUGAAGGCUUUCAAAUCUUUGAAGCUCAGUGAUGCACACAGAUGUACACAAAUCCGUCUUGCAUUGUAUUUUUUUUUCGUGAUGUUAUCCUCAACGCCCUUCAAGACGGGGGUGGAUGGAGGGCAACACCUCGCAAGGUGUAAUGUCUCAGAGUCUAGUGCCCAACUCUCUGGGCAAGCCACGCAGCCCCUCCCCCCUAUCCCGGCCAGAUGCCAGAGCGCUUCUGUUGGUGACAGGGUCAUGCAUCCAUGGCGUAGGGAGAGGUCAGAGCGAUGUUUACCGCUACGCACGUCGGCGAGGAGGCUCUGGGUGGCGCUGCGCUGGUGCGACGGCCGACAGAGAAGAGCCUCUGAGUGCACCUUCGCCGUGUUCGCCGAGCAGCACUUAUGUAGGUGUUCUCGGUCGGACUCAUUGGCUUUAUCACGGCCGCAUUCCAGGUGGAGGUGCUGUCGGUGGAAUGCUUGACGUUGCGCUUCCUCCGUUCCGAGAUUACCGUGCAUCUUCCCUCUGGUCACCGCCCGGAAGUGGUGACCAUACCUCCCUACGCUCGAACGCGCAUGCAGGGCAGUGAAGGUGUUCAGUACGGGUACGAGCCGACACUGGCGCAGGACGGGGAGCGCAUCUGCAGCCAAAGGCGAAGGCAGAGCACUGUGCUUGAACGACCUGCUGCAACUGAAGCAUUACCUUUGCGCGGCGCUCGGGUGAGGGAGUCAGCUGUAUAGGGCCUCAAGUGUAGAACGUGCAUCAUGGCCAGGUGCAGCGUACGGCCCCCUCUUGGGGUGCGCGUGCGCGAAGGCUUGGGCACACGCAGUCCUUCAGUUCCAUCAUUACUUUGAUUCCGCACGGCGUCUAUGAAGUUGCCGACCCACACCUUGCACUCAUGAGCAAAUAGUGACGUUGGCUGUUACGCCCUUGUCGGCUCCUUCUACACGAAGAACGGGCAUCAUACAUGUCUUGUCGCCACCACGGCGAGCCGCCUCUUAGCCCUGCAUACCUCCGUCAGCCUGUUUCUCUGGCUCGAGAACUUGUGAGCGCGUUGUAGCGAUGCGUGCACAAGUCCAAACGCCACGGGGACGGCGCUGAGAACGAGGAGUUUAUGUGUGUAGGGGUGGGUGGGGAGGGGGGUGGCGACGUCCGGCACGAGUACCUCGGCCAUGUUUCCCAUGACGACGUCCCCGAAAAAAAGGAAAAAAACAUGGGCGAGGUGCUUGCUGCCCGUCCUGUCGCUGCGCAAGAAAGCAGCACUCCCUACCGGAGGUGCUACGUGCUUGGCGUCCCCACACUCUUUGUGCGGUCUCGGUCAGCUAAGGACUGCGAUGCGGUUAGGAGUCUCGUACGGUACGGACUCAGCGCCACACACCUUGACCACAGCGCUACGGAGCAGAUAGUCUCGCUCUCGGAUGCGGGGAGGGGCGUUAGCACCAUCUCGAUUGUGAGCCGAUUUCGGAUCACUCUCAGCUGUCUAUUUCCCCGCACGAACAGCAUGUCAACCAAAUGUGCUGGAGUUCUCCAAAAGGGAUUGGCGUGCUUUGGUAAAUUGCCAUGCAGCAUCGUCGAUUGCAUCGCAUUUACGCCCAGUAAACCUUCAGCUUGCCCUAUGCGCCCAGUGCUCUCGGUUGUGUUAUGGGCAUAGCGGUCGCGCCGGCAGCUUUGGCGCAGAGCGCGCCGUUUUUUUUUUUUCACGCAGUUGUACGUUCCUGUUUUGUUCCCACUCGUGCAGCUCUGCAAGAUCAUGGGACUGAAAGUCGUUUGUGAUCUGGCGGCGAGCGUGGCCUCAGUGCAGUAUGUGCUGCAGCCGCCGUCUAUUAAGGAUAUUCUUCGAUGUGCUCUGUGAAGGAGGGCUAAACUAUCGGGGCCUUUGCGCUGUUGAAUGACCUGCGACGACAGUAUAUUUCUUCAUAUGUGGGGACCGUGGGAACAGCCGUCACGGGGCGUCUUUUUACCAACAACAACAAAACGAUCGAAACGCAAUGCGAACGUGCCUACGUGCGUCAGGCUUUUUCCACAACUCUCCGCUGUACGCGUGAAGUGUUGUGGCUGUCUUUACGACCUAUACAGGUACGGGAUAAUGUACUCGCCGUGCCGUUUGUUCUGUUUUCCGCGCUGCUUAACUUGUUGUAGCGUACAAACGAAGAAGGAAAGAAGCGCGUGAUGGGGCGAGGAUGCCUUCCUCCUUUAUCCUCCUUCCGGUC
This 3336-nucleotide unclassified non-coding RNA is filed under the name Leishmania donovani. RNAcentral's name for it is "gene:LdHU3.34.3130(CDS-product:hypothetical_prote in)". The record is from RNAcentral. Lineage: Eukaryota; Euglenozoa; Kinetoplastea; Trypanosomatida; Trypanosomatidae.